Molecule: ribosomal RNA, 305 nt
Filed under: uncultured bacterium
Lineage: Bacteria
Description: bacterial SSU rRNA
Rfam family: Bacterial small subunit ribosomal RNA
Source: RNAcentral
UGGCCCUACGGGGGGCAGCAGUGGGGAAUAUUGCACAAUGGGCGAAAGCCUGAUGCAGCAACGCCGCGUGAAGGAAGAAGGCCUUCGGGUCGUAAACUUCUGUCCUUGGGGAAGAAGAACUGACGGUACCCAAGGAGGAAGCCCCGGCUAACUACGUGCCAGCAGCCGCGGUAAUACGUAGGGGGCAAGCGUUAUCCGGAAUUACUGGGUGUAAAGGGAGCGUAGACGGUUAAGUAAGUCUGGAGUGAAAGGUCGGGGCCCAACCCCGGGACUGCUCUGGAAACUAUUGAACUUGAGUGCAGGCG